This 203-nucleotide long non-coding RNA is filed under the name Mytilus galloprovincialis (Mediterranean mussel). Lineage: Eukaryota; Metazoa; Mollusca; Bivalvia; Mytilida; Mytilidae. The record is from RNAcentral.
GUUUUAUGUACUUAUGUUUGUCUGUUUGCUUUUUUUCUUUUUUACUGGCAUGGCUUUGUCAGUUUUAUUUCGACUUAUGCGUUAGAAUUUUAUUUUGGUUUCUUUCGUCUCCAUCUUAAUGUUUUUGUUUUUCUAAAUUAAAAUUGGGUGUUAUUGGUGAAUUACAACCCUUUAUUUAUAUUUUAAUCAACACUCAAAAUAAC